UGGUUUGCUGCUGAGGUAUGUCCCUUUGUCACCUAUGUCACUUCAGCUGAGGUUCGUUGCGCCCAACUGUAGACCAUGAAGACCUGUGUUUGCACUAUAUAUUUUUUCGUCGUAAUCGUACCAUCAACUUGCUUGUCGUGCCGGAGUGGAUAGCAUAUAGCGGACACUCUCGGCUUAUGCUCUAAGCCAAAGGUAGAUAUAUUUGGGUUUGGAUUCCCAAAGCACAUCCCAAUCAGGCUAUGCAAAAUGGAGCGGCCCACAAUUUCGUGGAGAUGGUCUUGCGCGCUCGUCAUCAACAGCACUAGGUCCAGUGGGCCAAUCAGGCUGAAUGGCAUCAUCCAGCUGUGACUGGGGUGUAGGAGUCGCCACCUGCUGUUGCGCCGACUCGUGCUAGUACUCGCAUGAGCUCGCUGGAAUUGCUAUGUGCAUCCACAAAGUCCGAAAGAACAAGCUGGAAAGGGGUCUGGGAUCGUGCAACGGCGAGGGAAUUGUAUAAGCACAGAACUGUGUCACACCCUGUACGAUACAGGAGCGUACCUCGUUUCUUACUGGUACCAUAUGACCCGUGACUGAGAUGAGCGCCAAGCUUCGAAAUAAGGCUGGACAGUAGCCACCGGUUGUUGCAGUCGAUGGAUGGUGAAGAAAUCAGCAGCUGUUGCCAGAAGAAGAGAACGGUUCUCGAGGAAUGCAAGACAGACGAAUCUUGCUGUUGCCAGCA
Long non-coding RNA from Sycon ciliatum, 718 nucleotides. RefSeq lists it as uncharacterized. NCBI's taxonomy places the organism in Eukaryota, Metazoa, Porifera, Calcarea, Leucosolenida, Sycettidae. The record is from RefSeq and is a predicted model, not a curated record. The transcript has 4 exons.